CCUACGGGAGGCAGCAGUAGGGAAUCUUUCACAAUGGGCGAAAGCCUGAUGGAGCAACGCCGCGAGCAGGAUGAAGGCCUUCGGGUUGUAAACUGCUUUUAUAAGCGAGAAAUAUGAUGGUAACUUAUGAAUAAGGAUCGGCUAACUACGUGCCAGCAGCCGCGGUCAUACGUAGGAUCCGAGCAUUAUCCGGAGUGACUGGGUGUAAAGAGUUGCGUAGGUGGCAUAAUAAGUAGCUAGUGAAAUCUGGUGGCUCAACCAUUCAGACUAUUAGCUAAACUGUUAAGCUCGAGACCGUUAGGGGUAACUGGAAUUUCUAGUGUAGGAGUGAAAUCCGUAGAUAUUAGAAGGAACACCAAUAGCGUAGGCAGGUUGCUGGGACGGUUCUGACACUAAGGCACGAAAGCGUAGGGAGCAAACGGGAUUAGAUACCCGUGUAGUC
This 442-nucleotide ribosomal RNA is filed under the name uncultured bacterium. RNAcentral's name for it is "partial 16S ribosomal RNA". It matches the Rfam family "Bacterial small subunit ribosomal RNA", at positions 338 to 795 of the family's 1533-position model. The record is from RNAcentral.